UGGCGCACGGGUGCGUAACGCGUGGGAAUCUGCCCUUGGGUUCGGAAUAACAGUUAGAAAUGACUGCUAAUACCGGAUGAUGACGUAAGUCCAAAGAUUUAUCGCCCAAGGAUGAGCCCGCGUAGGAUUAGCUAGUUGGUGAGGUAAAGGCUCACCAAGGCGACGAUCCUUAGCUGGUCUGAGAGGAUGAUCAGCCACACUGGGACUGAGACACGGCCCAG
This 221-nucleotide ribosomal RNA is filed under the name uncultured bacterium. RNAcentral describes it as "partial 16S ribosomal RNA". It matches the Rfam family "Bacterial small subunit ribosomal RNA", at positions 96 to 334 of the family's 1533-position model. The record is from RNAcentral.